ACUCCUACGGGAGGCAGCAGUGGGGAAUAUUGCACAAUGGGGGAAACCCUGAUGCAGCGACGCCGCGUGAGUGAAGAAGUAUUUCGGUAUGUAAAGCUCUAUCAGCAGGGAAGAAAAUGACGGUACCUGACUAAGAAGCCCCGGCUAACUACGUGCCAGCAGCCGCGGUAAUAC
Molecule: ribosomal RNA, 174 nt
Filed under: uncultured bacterium
Lineage: Bacteria
Description: partial 16S ribosomal RNA
Rfam family: Bacterial small subunit ribosomal RNA
Source: RNAcentral